RNAcentral lists this ribosomal RNA (253 nucleotides) under uncultured microorganism. RNAcentral describes it as "partial 16S ribosomal RNA". It matches the Rfam family "Bacterial small subunit ribosomal RNA", at positions 524 to 776 of the family's 1533-position model. The record is from RNAcentral.
UACGUAGGGUGCGAGCGUUAAUCGGAUUUACUGGGCGUAAAGCGUGCGCAGGCGGUUUGUUAAGCGAGAUGUGAAAGCCCCGGGCUCAACCUGGGAACCGCAUUUCGAACUGGCAAACUAGAGUCUUGUAGAGGGGGGUAGAAUUUCCAGUGUAGCGGUGAAAUGCGUAGAGAUUUGGAGGAACACCAGUGGCGAAGGCAGCCCCCUGGGCCUGUACUGACGCUCAUGCACGAAAGCGUGGGGAGCAAACAGG